Molecule: long non-coding RNA, 1305 nt
Organism: Mytilus californianus (California mussel)
Lineage: Eukaryota; Metazoa; Mollusca; Bivalvia; Mytilida; Mytilidae
Exons: 2
Source: RefSeq, a predicted model, not a curated record
ACCCCCUUAUGAUUCAUCCCCCCCAAACUCAAUCCCAGCCUUCCCUUUGAGGUAUGGUACCUUGCAGAGUACAAUUUCAGAGAGAUCCAUACACUUGAACACAAGUUAUUGUCCUGAAACUAGAAAAAUGCUUGUUUUUUUGCCCCUUUAUGGCCCCUAAUUCCUAUAAUUUGGAGGCAAUUACCCCCAAAAUCAAUCCCAGCCUUCCCUUUGUGGUAUGGUACCUUGCAGUACAAUUUCAGAGAUAUCCAUACACUUGAACACGUUAUUGUCUGGAAACUAGGAAAAUGCUUAUUUUUGGCCCCUUAUUCCUAAAUGUUUUGGGCAAUUACCCCCAAACUCAAUUACAGCUUUCCCUUUGUGACAUGGAACCUUGUAGUACAAUUUCAUAAAGAUCCAUACACUUACACACAAGUUAUUGUCAUGAAACUAGAAAAAUGCUUGUUUUUUGCCCCUUUUUGGCCCCUAAUUCCUAAAAUUUGGAGGCAAUUACCCCCAAAAUCAAUCCCAGCCUUCCCUUUGUGGUAUGGUACCUUGCAGUACAAUUUCAGAGAGAUCCAUACACUUGAACACAAGUUAUUGUCUGGAAACUAGAAAAAUGCUUAUUUUUGGCCCCUUAUUCCUAAACGUUUUGGGCAAUUACCCCCAAACUCAAGUACAGCUUUCCCUUUGUGAUAUGGAACCUUGUGGUACAAUUUCAUAAAGAUCCAUACACUUGAACACAAUUUAUUGUCAUGAAACUAGAAAAAUGCUUGUUUUUUGCCCCUUUUUGGCCCCUAAUUCCUAAAAUUUUGAGGCAAUUACCCCCAAAAUCAAUCCCAGCAUUCCCUUUGUGAUAUGGAACAUUGUGGUACAAUGUCAGAAAGAUCCAUAAACUUACACAAAAGUUAUUGUCAUGAAACUAGAAAAAUGCUUGUUUUUUGCCCCUUUUUGGCCCCAAAUUCCUAAAAUUUGGAGGCAAUUACCCCCAAAAUCAAUCCCAGCAUUCCCUUUGUGAUAUGGAAUUUUGUGGUACAAUGUCAGAGAGAUCCAUACACUAACACACAAGUUAUGUCUGGAAGUUACAAAAAUGCUUAUUUUUGGCCCCUUUUUCCUUAACUGUUGGUACCAUAACCCCCAAAAUCAAUCCCCACCUUCCUUUUGUGGUAUUGAACCUUAUGGUAAAAUUUCAUAGAGAUCCAUUCACCUAAACUAAAGUUAGAGUACGAAAACCAAUGUGUCUUCGGACGACGACGACGAUGACGACGCCAACGUCAUACCAAUAUACGACCUCAAAAUUUUUUUGCGGUCGUAUAAAAACAUAUU